AUCACGGGAGACACACGGCGGGUGCUAACGUCCGUCGUGAAGAGGGAAACAACCCAGACCGCCAGCUAAGGUCCCAAAGUCAUGGUUAAGUGGGAAACGAUGUGGGAAGGCCCAGACAGCCAGGAUGUUGGCUUAGAAGCAGCCAUCAUUUAAAGAAAGCGUAAUAGCUCACUGGUCGAGUCGGCCUGCGCGGAAGAUGUAACGGGGCUAAACCAUGCACCGAAGCUGCGGCAGCGACGCUGAUGCGUUGUUGGGUAGGGGAGCGUUCUGUAAGCCUGCGAAGGUGACCUGUGAGGGUUGCUGGAGGUAUCAGAAGUGCGAAUGCUGACAUAAGUAACGAUAAAGCGGGUGAAAAGCCCGCUCGCCGGAAGACCAAGGGUUCCUGUCCAACGUUAAUCGGGGCAGGGUGAGUCGACCCCUAAGGCGAGGCCGAAAGGCGUAGUCGAUGGGAAACGGGUUAAUAUUCCCGUACUUGGUGUUACUGCGAAGGGGGGACGGAGAAGGCUAUGUUGGCCGGGCGACGGUUGUCCCGGUUUAAGCGUGUAGGUGUGUGUUCCAGGUAAAUCCGGUUCACUUUAACACUGAGGCGUGACGACGAGGCACUACGGUGCUGAAGCAACAAAUGCCCUGCUUCCAGGAAAAGCCUCUAAGCAUCAGGUAACAUCAAAUCGUACCCCAAACCGACACAGGUGGUCAGGUAGAGAAUACCAAGGCGCUUGAGAGAACUCGGGUGAAGGAACUAGGCAAAAUGGUGCCGUAACUUCGGGAGAAGGCACGCUGACACGUAGGUGAAGUGAUUUACUCAUGGAGCUGAAGUCAGUCGAAGAUACCAGCUGGCUGCAACUGUUUAUUAAAAACACAGCACUGUGCAAACACGAAAGUGGACGUAUACGGUGUGACGCCUGCCCGGUGCCGGAAGGUUAAUUGAUGGGGUCAGCGUAAGCGAAGCUCCUGAUCGAAGCCCCGGUAAACGGCGGCCGUAACUAUAACGGUCCUAAGGUAGCGAAAUUCCUUGUCGGGUAAGUUCCGACCUGCACGAAUGGCGUAAUGAUGGCCAGGCUGUCUCCACCCGAGACUCAGUGAAAUUGAACUCGCUGUGAAGAUGCAGUGUACCCGCGGCAAGACGGAAAGACCCCGUGAACCUUUACUAUAGCUUGACACUGAACAUUGAGCCUUGAUGUGUAGGAU
Molecule: ribosomal RNA, 1188 nt
Filed under: Salmonella enterica subsp. enterica serovar Typhimurium
Lineage: Bacteria; Pseudomonadati; Pseudomonadota; Gammaproteobacteria; Enterobacterales; Enterobacteriaceae
Description: bacterial LSU rRNA
Rfam family: Bacterial large subunit ribosomal RNA
Source: RNAcentral